This 440-nucleotide ribosomal RNA is filed under the name uncultured bacterium. RNAcentral describes it as "partial 16S ribosomal RNA". It matches the Rfam family "Bacterial small subunit ribosomal RNA", at positions 338 to 795 of the family's 1533-position model. The record is from RNAcentral.
CCUACGGGAGGCAGCAGUAGGGAAUAUUCCUCAAUGGGCGAAACCCUGAAGCAGCAACGCCGCGUGGGGGAUGAAGGUUUUCGGAUCGUAAAACUCUGUUGUUAGAGAAGAUAAUGAGUGUAACUAACUAUGAAGGACUUGCUAACGCCUUGCCAGCAGCCCCGGGAAUACGGCGGGUGCAAGGGUUCCGCGGAAUUACUGGGCGUAAAGAGCGCGUAGGCGGUAUAGCAAGUCAGAUGUGAAAGCCUAUGGCUUAACCAUAGAGCUGCAUUUGAAACUGUUAUGCUAGAGUAUGGGAGAGGUAAGUGGAAUUCUUGGUGUAGCGGUAAAAUCCGUAGAGAUCAAGAGGAAUACUCAUUGCGAAGGCGACCUGCUAGAACAUAACUGACGCUGAUGCGCGAAAGCGUGGGGAGCAAACAGGAUUAGAUACCCCAGUAGUC